This 425-nucleotide ribosomal RNA is filed under the name uncultured bacterium. RNAcentral's name for it is "partial 16S ribosomal RNA". It matches the Rfam family "Bacterial small subunit ribosomal RNA", at positions 354 to 796 of the family's 1533-position model. The record is from RNAcentral.
GUGGGGAAUCUUGCGCAAUGGGCGAAAGCCUGACGCAGCCAUGCCGCGUGAAUGAUGAAGGUCUUAGGAUUGUAAAAUUCUUUCACCGGGGACGAUAAUGACGGUACCCGGAGAAGAAGCUCCGGCUAACUUCGUGCCAGCAGCCGCGGUAAUACGAAGGGGGCUAGCGUUGCUCGGAAUUACUGGGCGUAAAGGGCGCGUAGGCGGACAGCUUAGUCAGAGGUGAAAGCCCAGGGCUCAACCUUGGAAUUGCCUUUGAUACUGGCUGUCUUGAGUUUGGGAGAGGUGAGUGGAACUCCGAGUGUAAAGGUGAAAUUCGUAGAUAUUCGGAAGAACACCAGUGGCGAAGGCGACUCACUGGCCCAAUACUGACGCUGAGGCGCGAAAGCGUGGGGAGCAAACAGGAUUAGAUACCCGGGUAGUCC